CUCGAUGAUCUUAGAGGCCUUUUCCAAACUAAAUGAUUCUAUGAUUCUGUAGUUCACCUGGGCCAAAACAGGCCUCUUCCCGCCUCUCACUGUAGGGCUGGGCACUGGCUGGCAGGAUGCCUGCCCUGAUAUCUGCAUGAGCCCCCUUGGCUCCUGUUCUUUCAUCUCCUUCUGGAGCAGCCUGGCUCCUGCUGCUCCCUGAUAGCCAGUACUCUGUAAGACAAGAUGAUCACAGUGAUGUGCCUUUUCUGAUGCUUCCAGUAGCAUUCAAAAUGCUACCAGGACAUGGGGGCCUGGGUGAGAAUAGGGGCCGACAAAUCAUGGGGGUAGUGGCCCAGGACGUACAGGAAGGAGUGGAGGAAGAAGUGGAGACCAACUUCAGUGCCACAACUGCAAAAGGACUUCAGGGUGCCUCACACCUCAACUAUGUGCUUAAGGAUGUAACUAGGAGUCAGGAGGCCUUUUUACAAAAGAGGAAAUGACCACAAAAGACUGGUACUGGAAGAUGAAAGGAGGGAGGGAGGAAUGAAGUACUUGGCAAGGAGAGAAAAAAGCCAGCAGCUGCUACAGCAUGAAUAAAAAAGAGUCUUAAUUCAGCCCAUACAGACCUUCAUGGAUUGUAUCCUACAGAUAUAUAACAAUGGCGAGGCAGGCCCUCAGCUGAUGCAAAGUAUCCACCUGAGUUUUCUGGAACCACAGGUAUUUCUGGAGGCUGAAGUUGUGGCCCAAGUGAGAGUUUCUACUUUGUCUUUCACCUGCAAGUAUGGACAAAGGCAGUGGGGUGUCAGAUUCCUGUGUGCUAAAGGAGAACAACACUGUGGGCUGUUGCACAUAUACAUGAUUUAGUGUUAACAGGGGCUUACUUCUUAAUAGUGACUUUUAGCUAGUACUUCAAAACAGUUAAAUUCAUAAUGUGUAAGGUCAGAGGAACAUCAGAACAGUGAUUGGGGUG
This is a long non-coding RNA of Neopelma chrysocephalum (saffron-crested tyrant-manakin), 952 nucleotides long. RefSeq lists it as uncharacterized. The transcript is spliced from 4 exons. The record is from RefSeq and is a predicted model, not a curated record. NCBI's taxonomy places the organism in Eukaryota, Metazoa, Chordata, Aves, Passeriformes, Pipridae.